ACAUUAAAAACUAGCUCCUAAUUUUGAUAACCUUUUUUGAAACAAAUUUCACCGCGAAUGCUAAAUGCAAAUUAUGGGGUCAUAGAUAUGUCUUCAUGCAAAUUAGGUCAGGUCUCAGGAGAUUUCUCCGUAUGCCACUCUUGCCCUAGUUUGUAGCUUUUCAAUUUUCUGAUUUAAAAGACAUUAGAAAACAAAGGUUGGCCUAUCGGCCUAUCCAACACUAUCCGCUUUAUAUAUCCGUUCCAUGUGCGCAUGCGAUUAUCUUUGUUUCCUCGCGUUGACUCCGUUCUUCAGUUAUACCUUUCCCUUCCUCUUCAACUUCAUCACAUUCACACCCCACUUCACUCUUUCAUUUGUCCUCUGAUUUGAAGAUCUGAGAGUCCCUGCACACUUAAGUUUGAUUUUGUUAUAUUCACUUGCUUCGUUCUAAGCGGAGGAACUGGAAGAUCAAGCAACCAACUGUCCUUUAUGGAUCCAUAAGUCAUAACGUCUAUAUUCAAACAUGGAGUUUCCCAUUUCAAUUGUUGUGGAUCAAUUCACUACAGGAUCUAGAGAAUCAAACAAGUUGUUGUGAAUAAGGUAGGCACGAAAUCAUCAAAAUUGGCAUGUUCCCCAAAAAAGACAUGGAUUAUGAGCCCUUUGAAACGUGGAUUUCAUUUGAUAAAAUCAUGGAGAAAUGUAUUUGGUUGUAUGGAAUAGGUGGUGUGGGGAAGAAGACACUCGUCAAAAAAGUUUAUCAGGAAGCUACAAAAGAUGGGAAAAUUCUUGGCGAUGUGGUUUUAGUACUAGAUGUGAAACAAAAUCCAGACCUGGAAAGAAUUCAGAAAGAAAUUUGUGAAACAAACGGGCUGGAUGCUGAGGACAGUGAGAGCACAGUCAGUUUGAAAAGGUGUUCGUCUAUGUGACAAGAUGAAAGACAAGAAGGCUCUUGUAAUAUUGGACGAUGUCUGGGAUAACACUGAUUUUGAGGCUAUCGUACGUCUUGUUAACAUCUAGAAGUCGAAGAGUACUUUCACCUCAAAUGCAUCUUCAAAAGGGUUUGUGCUAGUUUAUUUGAGAAGAUGGCAGGUGAUAUUGUUAAAGAUCUCAGACUAUGAUUUUGUAGCAACCCACAUAGCCUUGAUGUGGAGUUUUACUAGUUAUAGAUGUCACAGUUGCAAGAGCUUUAAAAAAUAGAAGUGCUCUCUAUGUGCAUGGUGGAAACUGGAAAGCUGCCUUGAGACGCCUAAAAAAGAGCAUAGUUGGCUCUAGAGUGGAGUUACAAUCAAUUCAAUGACAUAGAGCUUAAACCAUUGUUUAACAGUCAAAGAAGUUGAUAGGCAAGCUAUGAAAGAUAAAACCUUGUCUCUGUGACAGGAUAAAAGACAAGAACAUUCUGGUAAUUUUAAAUGAUGUUUGGGAUAAAAUUGAUUUUGGUGUUGUGGAACUUCCUAGUUAUUGUGAUGUGCUGCUAAUAUGCUGAUGCAUUUAGCUAGUGUAUAGACCAUGUGAGUUGCAAAUGUUCUGAAAUGUGUGGGACUGUCAGGAGUCCCUACUUUAGCUCAAUAAGUGCAAAACAUGCAAUUUUGUUACUUGGGGGUCCAUACUGUUUAAGUUAAGCUGUAACCUUUGAUUAUCAAUCUUUUACACCCUUAACUUGAGUUUUAACUUGCAAUGAAGCUUUGAUAUUUUGAGUAUGCCUUGUCUUGAUAUAUAUUGUUGCGACUUUUGAGACUAUAUUUACAAAUUCCAGUGAAGUUGAAUCUUUUAACUGUUUAAGAAAAUGAAACAAGAAGAUUAGCCUAGAAGUUUGGAACUAUAUAUGUGAGUUACUUGGUAAUGGCUAAUCAUUGUAGACAUGAGCUAAUCUGAUGUAGUUAGGGGAGUUGUCUUUAAGGCUUUAAAAUGAAGUUUAGGGUCAUUAUCUGUGGGGUGAAGGGUAAUGUGGCUUAACCUUAUACAUACUCUAGAAUUACAACAAGACUUCUCAUGAAUCACUUAAGAGAUAUCGUUUGAAAUACUUGAGAACUAAAAUGGGCUAAAGGACCUGAAGGAUUGAGCAUUGAGGACUGAGUUGCAAAAGUUGAUUGACUAUGACAAUUUGUUGAAAUUGUUAUAUGUUAUUGUUGUUCUCACUGUGCUUGCUUCAAAAAUGAUUUCAUAUGACAAUUCUGUACCUGCUGGAAAAUGCAAAUAUAUGAGAGAUUACAUAAACUUUGAGAUAUUACAAGUUUUGUCUACUGAACUAGCCAAAGGGUCCUUGAUAUUUCAUCAAUUAUGUAUCUCUUAAUGGCUUUGAUAUUCUUUCUGUCUAAUUCUGCUAUGUAAUUUGUUAUGAUUGAACCAUUAGUUCUUCCUGAUGUCAUGGUACCAUAAUCACUGUUGUUGAUUUGGCUGAAAUAUGAGCACAAUCUAUAUUCUAUACAUGACAUAAAUACAACUUUAAUGAACAUGAUGAACAUAAACAUCACAAGCUCAAGAAGAAGAUUAGCAUCAAUCAGCAUCUGACUGUCUGGUCUCCUGCAUUACUCUCCCUUUUGUAAGUGUGAAGUCUGACUCAAGGACCACCAAUUGUUGUUUAAUGUGUAACUAGCUUAACGAAUGUUAAAGGGCUAGCUUGGGUUCCAUCAUUAUCUUUGGCAUUUACUGCUAGUACUUAAACGUUUGAGCAACCAAAUUCUAAUGCUUUUCUUCUUCAAAGUUUACAAUGAUUCUAUUUUAGGGAUAUUCUGGUUACUGUACUUGUGAGAAAUUAUCUGAUAUAAUAUCAUCCGCCAAUUGAGCAGCUUAAAAAGGGUUUUAGGGAUAUUGUAGAGGAUAUCAGAGUUGGUAUUAAGUGUUAACUAAUGACAAUGAUUCAUAAUAUGUAUGCUAAGCGCAGUACCAUUUGGUUGGAGCUAGCAAAAGUUUUGUGGUUAGCUAACAUUCGAUAUGAUUGUAUCAUCUUCUGUCAGCAUAUCUCGGUGUGCAUGACAUUUCUUUUGCUAUGAACAUUUAGAUGCCAUAUCAUCCUUCUUAUGAGUCAUGUCUGUUAAUAAUUAAUAUGGAAGACCGGGAGCUGGGAAUAAGUUAUGUUACAUAAAAUUCCUAGAUAAAAGAACUUCUGGUCUUGCAUCAAUUAGUGGAAAAACUUUGGUUGUUUGACAUUAAUCGAAUGGCUUCAUUAAUAAAAGCAAUAAACUAGAGUAAUCUCUUAUUGCCCAUAAGAGGCCUUGAUUGAUUUGCUUAGGCUCAUAUACCAGAAUAUUCGAAGUCAGAAUCAGCCAUACAGCUUUACUUAUCCAAAGAAGUAUGGACAAAAACCCAAAGAAGUUUCUGAGUGACAGCCGUAAAUUGGACGGCUUAAAGGACUUGGCAUUUGGACUGCAUUAUAUGGUUUUAUUACUUCAAACAGUAAUCAAAAAGUACUAAACAACCAUUUUUCAGUGUCAUUUUUCAAGUCAAAUAACACCAAAGUUAAACUCAGGUCCUCUGUUUCAACCUAUCUUCCCGCAAAGACUUAUAUGACAAUCCAUAGCAGAAGUUCUACCAGCUAGAAAUCAUACUCUUCCCCACUGUGUUUACAUUGUGAGAUGAUGAGUGCUCCAGUGAGGCGCAUAGAUGAGAUUCUUGCUUUACCUUAUUCGGCGGAUGAUUUUAAGAGCGUAGAUGUUCCACCUUCUGAUGAUGAUUCUUGGCUUUACAAUGGAGAGGAUGAAUUGAACUCUGAACUUCUACAGAGACAAAAGGAGAUGAAACUUUAUGAUUUAAAACAUAAGAAGCAGAAGAAGAAGUCAAAGAGCAGGACAAUGUUGGUCCAUCCUCCAGCUCCACCAUUGAUGGGUUCAAUCCUGGUGACAUAACCAUGCAGGCCUUUGUCGAAAAGGUGUGAAGCUACAAGGGAGCUGAGGUUCAUGAGACAGGUUAGUGCAUAUCUGUCACUUACGUUUGUGUAUCAGUUCUUCAAGAGUUGUCACUUGAUUUUAUCCCAAACGCAGAAAAACCAUGGAUGUGCACAUCUGCUUUUAGUGCUGAUUGUUACAAUUCAGAUGAUUUGAACUUGUGCUCUUAGUUCUGAUGGUUUCGUUGAUUUGGAGUGCUUACAUCUUUAAGACUAAAACCUAUUUCCAUAUGGAUCCUUUGUAUGGAUUUUGAGGCCUCAGAAGCCCUGUUGCUGAAGCAAUUUCACCUUUUUGAGUGAAUCAUCUGGUUUACUUGCCUCUAGAUGAGUGAAAUGACAAAUGAGCCAGGUUGCAAGCCUGAUAUGUUCAAAUGACCAUAAGCUAUAGGACGUGAGUUAAAUACAUCACGGGUAUGCGGCCUAAAUGUGGUUCUAGUUUCUAGGCAUGAGUCAUUUAGUAUUGUUAAAAACUACAAAUGAAAAUAUACAACUAUCAAAUGCAAUUAAAUUUACUCAUCUAAUCACUGAUUAUUAGUGUUAUUACUGCACAGUAACUUACAUUUCAGUUUCAAUAGUUAACAAAGUUGUUUAUAAAUUUAUUGUUAGUAUGAGUUUUCCUUCCUUCAUUUCUUUAAAGAAAUACAACUUAAUUAUCACUAAUGUAUAUAAGAUUAGUUAUAAGAAUUUGAAACUAGGCAAAGAACAGAGAAAAAGAAAGUUUAUGUGCAGGCCUGUGCUAAACAAUGCUCAAGCAGAAAAAUCAUGUACCUCAUUUUUCAUAUUGGGUAUUCAUUAUUGAUCAUGACAUAAGUACAUGUAUGGGAAUGAUUAAGAGCCAUGCAGUGACCAGCACGACAUGAAGCAGGAGAUAUGAUUUGGGCCUGCAUAUCCUAUUUCUUGCAACAAUAUAUACAUGAGUAUAUAAAAGAAGCGCCUCAGUCCGGUGCUGUUAACAAGAGACUGGUGAGACAAUGUUCCUAGGACUAUGAAUAUUUGAGUAGAUAUAUGUGUACAUAACUGUCUAGACUCUAAUAUGUUUAUGUGUGAACUGAAGACAAUCGGAUGUGCUCAUUUUCUAUUUUCAAGUUUCUGAUCAUUUUGUUCUGACGAUAAGAGUACCAGGAGACAGAUGAGACCUCAGAAACCUGAAGAACCAAUGCCUCCAGAGCCUGAAAAAAAAAAAAAAUUGAGAAACCAGCAGAGAAAGUUGAGGAAGAACCCCAACAAAGGAAGAAGAGGUAGUUGAACCUCCUCCCUUGAUCGAAACUGAUCUGCUGGGCAUAAAUGAAAUAAAUCCAAGAGCUGCAGAGAUUAAAGAAAGCAAUGCUCUAGCUCUUGCUAUAGUUCCACAUGGGAUUAAACCACAAUCUGGAUCAAAUUUGAAUGAUAUUGGUGGGACUUCAGGUUGGGAAUGAUGCACAUAACCUCAGGGACAGAAUCAUAUCUGGAUCAAUUUUUUCCUUACAGAACCUCUUUUCUGAAUUGCACGAUGAAGAUUUAAGAACAUCAUGCUCUUUCUGCAUCUUAUGAACUUUUAUUUCUUCAUUCUUAGAUCAAAAAAUUAUAUUUAGAAUACAUGAUUAUCCUUUUUCAUGUUUGAUGAGGCUCAUCUUUGUAUUCCAUGUUCAACGGGUAAUCUGAGCGUUAAUAUCCGAUAUGAUCAGAGUUGGUUUACAUUUAAUGAACU
Molecule: long non-coding RNA, 5546 nt
Organism: Rosa rugosa (rugosa rose)
Lineage: Eukaryota; Viridiplantae; Streptophyta; Magnoliopsida; Rosales; Rosaceae
Exons: 5
Source: RefSeq, a predicted model, not a curated record